AGGGGUGAAAGGCCAAUCAAACUUCGUGAUAGCUGGUUCUCCCCGAAAUGCAUUUAGGUGCAGCGUCACGUGUUUCUUGCCGGAGGUAGAGCACUGGAUGGCUAAUGGGCCCUACAAGGUUACUGACGUCAGCCAAACUCCGAAUGCCGGUAAGUGAGAGCGUGGCAGUGAGACUGCGGGCGAUAAGGUUCGUAGUCGAGAGGGAAACAGCCCAGACCACCGGUUAAGGCCCCUAAGCGUGUGCUAAGUGGGAAAGGAUGUGGAGUUGCUGUGACAACCAGGAGGUUGGCUUAGAAGCAGCCACCCUUGAAAGAGUGCGUAAUAGCUCACUGGUCAAGU
This 339-nucleotide ribosomal RNA is filed under the name Asterionellopsis glacialis. Its description in RNAcentral is "partial Bacterial large subunit ribosomal RNA". It matches the Rfam family "Bacterial large subunit ribosomal RNA", at positions 817 to 1154 of the family's 2925-position model. Lineage: Eukaryota; Bacillariophyta; Plagiogrammaphyceae; Rhaphoneidales; Asterionellopsidaceae. The record is from RNAcentral.